GGAAAGAUUUGGAAGCCAACAACAAACAGUUUUUCCAUUUGAUUUUCAACCCACCCCCCGUUCUCUUGAUGGCAACUUAUCUUCCAAAACCCCUCUCCACAUUUAACAUUCUGAAAGAGGGUAAGCUAACCCCUUCUUCAUGUCGCCAUAAUUUACAACUGCCUCAACAAUUCGUUGCCUCUCAUCAUCCCAAAUUUAAGCAUUCAUUGCUCUCCUUGAGCGCCUCGGUUCACGAACUCACCGGGAACCGGAGGCCCUCCGAUGCCCAGUCUUUAUUGCUUAGAAUGAUUCGGAAAAGCGGCGUUUCCCGGACCCAGAUUGUAGACUCUUUGAUAUCCACAUGUGGCUCCACUCCUCUUGUCUUUGAUUUGUUGAUUCGAACAUAUGUGCAAUCUAGGAAGCUAAGGGAAGGUGUCGAGGUUUUUAAGGUUGUUAGAAGCAGGGGGAUUUCUGUUCCGAUAAACGCCUGCAAUAGUCUUCUUGGUGGCCUUGUGAAAAUCGGGUGGGUAGAUUUCGCCUGGGAGGUAUACCAUGAGACGCUUUCAAGUGGAGUUCAAAUGAACAAUUAUACCAUGAAUAUCAUGGUUAACACGAUAUGUAAAGAGCACAAGUUUGAUGAAGUCAAGACUUUCUUGAUGGGAUUUCAGGCCAAGGGUGUUUCACCUGACAUUGUGACGUAUAACACGUUAAUCAGUGCUUAUUCUGGUGUGGGCCUUGUUGAUGAAGCUUUUCAACUUAUGGAUGCUAUGCGAAGUAAUGGGCUGGAACCAGGGCUAUACGCGUAUAAUGCUGUUUUGAAAGGUGUGUGUAGGAAUAGGAGUUUUGAAAGAGCCAAAGAGAUUGUUAAAGAAAUGUUUCGUAUCGGGUUGACUCCGGAUGUUGCUACCUACAACACCUUGUUAGUUGAAUGCUGUAGAAAACACCAUGUAUUGGAAGCCGAAAGUGUUUAUAAUGAAAUGUUGCAGAAAAACAUUGUUCCGGAUUUUGUUACUUACAGCUCCCUUAUUGGGUUGUUUUCAAGAAGCACCAACCUUGAUCGCGCUUUAGCUUACUUCAAGGACAUGAAAAGUAUUGGUUUGGUACCCGAUAAUGUUAUUUAUACGAUUUUAAUCGAUGCGUUUUGCAAACAUGGUGUGAUCUCGGAGGCAAUGAAGAUGCGCAAUGAAAUGGUGGAUCGUGGGUGUGUUUUGGAUGUGGUGACAUACAAUACUCUUUUGAACGGGUUAUGCAAAAAUAAAAUGAUCCAGGAAGCGGAUAAACUUUUUUAUGAGAUGACCGAAAGAGGCAUACAUCCAGACUUUUACACGUUCACGACACUGAUUAAUGGGUAUGUCAAGGGAGGAAACAUGAAUAAAGCUGUAACUUUAUUUGAAUCAAUGAGACAAAGGAAUUUAAAACCAGAUGUUGUAACGUAUAAUGUUUUGAUUGACGGGUUCUGCAGGGACGGUGAUAUGGAAAAAGCUAAAGAUUUAUGGAACAAUAUGAUAUCCAAAAGUAUUUUUCCUAAUCAUAUUACAUACAGCAUUUUAAUUAACGGGUUUUGUACCAAGGGUCGUGUAGUAGAGGCGUUGAGGAUUUGGGAUGAGAUGAUUGGUAACGGGAUUAAACCGACAAUUGUGACGUGUAACACCAUUAUUAAGGGAUACUGUAGGUCUGGAUUACCUGUAGAUGCAGCUAAAUUCUUUGAUAGAAUGGCUUCUAGUGGUAUCACUCCUGAUAAUAUUACGUUUAACACUCUUAUACACGGGUUUUUGAUGGAAGAUCAAAUGGACCAGGCUUUUGACAUGGUCAACAAAAUGGAAAGUCAAGGGUUGUCGCCCAAUGUUGUUACAUAUAAUGUGAUUCUUAAUGGGUUCUGUAAACAGGGGAGGAUGAAUGAAGCGGAUAUGAUUUACGGGAAGAUGAUCGGAAAGGGUUUAGAUCCUGACAGAAGUACGUUUAUAUCGCUGAUAAAUGGUCAUGUGUCACAAGAGAACAUGAAGGAAGCGUUUCGGUAUCAUGAUCAAAUGCUGCAGAGGGGAUUUGUGCCUGAUGAUAAAUUUUGAUUUAUGUCAGGGUGGUUUACCGUGUAAGUUGACAGCACAAUGUCCAAGCCUCUUGGAUGAAUCCUUACCGUUUAAUUGCUGAAUAGCAGUUGAAGGUCUCAACAAAGAGUAAAAGGUACACUUCUGUGCUUUGAUUAUAAGCAGAAACAGUCUCAACAAAGAGAGGCCAAACCCAACCUGUAUUUGAAUUCAUUGAACAAUGCAAAAACAUUAUACAAAUGCCAGUGUUUCCAGUUACAAGUAUUAAUAAAUCUGUUGCAGAUAACACUAUUGCAUCCAGAACUUUAAGCAUAUCAUUCAGAUGUCCCUAGCUACUUGCUACAUGUUGCCAAAAUGACAAUAGUCCAGUUUUGAUCAUUUCUCUCGCCAGAACAAUCCAAUACUGAAGAAAACAAUCAAGUUUUCCAGCAUCAACAAACACAAAAGUCUUUUGCUAAACAUAAACAGGCAAUUAUAAAUCUCAAUCUAGCAAAAUCGAGCAUUUUAAUCUUAUUCUUGGACUCUUGGGCGCCUGAUGCAGUUAUGUGGAAUUUGUUCCUAAAAGAACGCAUUGAUCCGAUCCUCCGCCCACCUCCCUGAAAUUGGGAUAGUUAGUUGUUUGAAAACAGUAACCUAAAUGCUAAAUAACUAGACCUGGCAUUAGAAUGGGUUCGGGUCGGGACGGGUUCGGGUCAAAAAAGUGGGCUUCUUCAGGUAAUACUGGUGCUGUUGUUGAAGAAGGUCAACAAAGACUGCCAUUAGAACUACGUAAACUGUCGAAAUUUAUAACACUAAAAUAAUCAUUCAUCCAGGGUAUGUACCUUCAUAUUCUAAAAUCAACAUUAUCUUUUUCUAAAUAUAUAACUGAAACAUUAAU
Molecule: RNA transcript, 2901 nt
Organism: Helianthus annuus (common sunflower)
Lineage: Eukaryota; Viridiplantae; Streptophyta; Magnoliopsida; Asterales; Asteraceae
Gene name: pentatricopeptide repeat-containing protein At5g01110
Exons: 3
Source: RefSeq, a predicted model, not a curated record